RNAcentral lists this ribosomal RNA (253 nucleotides) under uncultured bacterium. RNAcentral describes it as "partial 16S ribosomal RNA". It matches the Rfam family "Bacterial small subunit ribosomal RNA", at positions 524 to 776 of the family's 1533-position model. The record is from RNAcentral.
UACGUAGGGCGCAAGCGUUGUCCGGAAUUAUUGGGCGUAAAGAGCUCGUAGGCGGUUUGUCGCGUCUGCUGUGAAAACCUAAGGCUCAACCUUGGGCUUGCAGUGGGUACGGGCAGACUAGAGUGCGGUAGGGGUGACUGGAAUUCCUGGUGUAGCGGUGGAAUGCGCAGAUAUCAGGAGGAACACCGAUGGCGAAGGCAGGUCUCUGGGCCAUUACUGACACUGAGAAGCGAAAGCAUGGGGAGCGAACAGG